GAUAAAGUGGCUGAUAAUAGGUAAUAGAUUGUAAAUUUAUUUAUAAGAAAAAUUUCUUCUUUAUCA
This 66-nucleotide transfer RNA is filed under the name Choroterpides apiculata (nomen nudum). Its description in RNAcentral is "tRNA-Tyr". The record is from RNAcentral. Lineage: Eukaryota; Metazoa; Arthropoda; Insecta; Diptera; Culicidae.